RNAcentral lists this ribosomal RNA (238 nucleotides) under uncultured Glomeromycotina. RNAcentral's name for it is "partial 18S ribosomal RNA". The stretch from base 39 to 238 matches the Rfam family "Eukaryotic small subunit ribosomal RNA", at positions 685 to 887 of the family's 1831-position model. Lineage: Eukaryota; Fungi; Glomeromycota. The record is from RNAcentral.
GGGACAGCAGGUUGGUCGUGCCACUGGUAUGAACUGGCUUUGCUGAUUCCUCCUUCUUGAAGAACCGUGAUGCCAUUAAUUUGGUGUUGCGGGGAAACAGGACUGUUACUUUGAAAAAUUAGAGUGUUUAAAGCAGGCUAACGCUUGAAUACAUUAGCACGGAAUAAUAAAAUAGGACGUUUGAUCCUAUUUUGUUGGUUUCUAGGGUUGACGUAAUGAUUAAUAGGGAUAGUUGGGC